CCUACGGGAGGCAGCAGUGGGGAAUAUUGCACAAUGGGGGAAACCCUGAUGCAGCAACGCCGCGUGGGUGAAGGAGCGUUUCGGCGCGUAAAGCCCUGUCAGCGGGGAAGAAGAAAGACGGUACCCGACCAAGAAGCCCCGGCUAACUACGUGCCAGCAGCCGCGGUAAUACGUAGGGGGCGAGCGUUAUCCGGAAUUACUGGGUGUAAAGGGAGCGUAGACGGCGAGGUAAGCCUGAAGUGGAAGCCCGCGGCCCAACCGCGGAACUGCUUUGGGAACUGUUUUGCUGGAGUAUGGGAGGGGUAAGCGGAAUUCCUGGUGUAGCGGUGAAAUGCGUAGAUAUCAGGAGGAACACCGGUGGCGAAGGCGGCUUACUGGACCAUAACUGACGUUGAGGCUCGAAAGCGUGGGGAGCGAACAGGAUUAGAUACC
RNAcentral lists this ribosomal RNA (432 nucleotides) under uncultured bacterium. RNAcentral describes it as "bacterial SSU rRNA". It matches the Rfam family "Bacterial small subunit ribosomal RNA", at positions 338 to 786 of the family's 1533-position model. The record is from RNAcentral.